Molecule: long non-coding RNA, 601 nt
Organism: Fundulus heteroclitus (mummichog)
Lineage: Eukaryota; Metazoa; Chordata; Actinopteri; Cyprinodontiformes; Fundulidae
Exons: 2
Source: RefSeq, a predicted model, not a curated record
CUUUCCUUGUUUCCAGUUCUUUCUAUGAUCCUCAUCGCAUCCCUGUGAGGGAAGAAAAUCAACCGCUAAAUCUGUCGUCGUUGUUGUGUUUUUUUUUUUAACUGUAAAUAUUUGUUACAUAUUAUUAUGUGUUGGUCGUAAACAUAACCUGCUUUUGUCCAGAAAUGGUGUGAAGUCUUCCAAUAGGAACCGGCGUGGAAACAUAGCAGCCACAGGGAGGUGCUGGAAAGGCAGAAAGACCAGGGAUGGAAGACGGAAGGUUCUCCUCUGUUUUAGGUUAAAACGUCUUCUUCUUUUUGCCCUGGAAGGUAGAAGCAACAACCUGCUGUCCUAAGCAGGUGUAUUUGUUGUUUGUUUGCUUGUUUGUCUUGUUUUAAGGAGUGAAUUCAGCACAGAAAAUUAGGAAUUAAGAACCAAAGUCACUGGUUUUGUUGCUGUGUUUAGUUUCUGAUUAUUUGUAUUGUGUUUCUAGGUUUUGUGGAAGACCUGUUGCCUUUUUUCAUUUUCUUUAUACAAAAGUGUUCCCAGGUUUGAUCUAAUGUCACCCUUUAAUCGCUCUUAUAUUUCCAUACACAAUUUGCCUUUUCUUAUCAUUUGGUUU